AGUGAACGCUGGCGGUAGGCCUAACACAUGCAAGUCGAACGGUAGCACAGUAAGAGCUUGCUCUUACGGGUGGCGAGUGGCGGACGGGUGAGGAAUACAUUGGAAUCUACUUUUUCGUGGGGGAUAACGUAGGGAAACUUACGCUAAUACCGCAUAUGCCCUAUGGGUGAAAGCAGGGGAUCUUCGGACCUUGCGCGAUUGAAUGAGCCGAUGUCGGAUUAGCUAGUUGGCGGGGUAAAGGCCCACCAAGGCGACGAUCCGUAGCUGGUCUGAGAGGAUGAUCAGCCACACUGGAACUAGGACGCGGACCAGACUCCUACGGGAGGCAGCAGUGGGGAAUAUUGGACAAUGGGCGCAAGCCUGAUCCAGCCAUACCGCGUGGAUGAAGAAGGCCUUCGGGUUGUAAAACCCUUUUGUUGGGAAAGAAAAGCAGCAGGUUAAUACCCCGCUAUUCUGACGGUACCCAAAGAAUAAGCACCGGCUAACUUCGUG
This 492-nucleotide ribosomal RNA is filed under the name uncultured bacterium. Its description in RNAcentral is "partial 16S ribosomal RNA". It matches the Rfam family "Bacterial small subunit ribosomal RNA", at positions 29 to 507 of the family's 1533-position model. The record is from RNAcentral.